This 465-nucleotide ribosomal RNA is filed under the name uncultured bacterium. RNAcentral's name for it is "partial 16S ribosomal RNA". It matches the Rfam family "Bacterial small subunit ribosomal RNA", at positions 28 to 507 of the family's 1533-position model. The record is from RNAcentral.
GACGAACGCUGGCGGCGUGCUUAACACAUGCAAGUCGAACGGAAAGGCCCUGCUUGCAGUGUACUCGAGUGGCGAACGGGUGAGUAACACGUGGGUGAUCUGCCCUGCACUUCGGGAUAAGCCUGGGAAACUGGGUCUAAUACCGGAUAGGAGCCAUUUUUAGUGUGAUGGUUGGAAAGUUUUUUCGGUGUAGGAUGAGUUCGCGGCCUAUCAGCUUGUUGGUGGGGUAAUGGCCUACCAAGGCGGCGACGGGUAGCCGGCCUGAGAGGGUGGACGGCCACAUUGGGACUGAGAUACGGCCCAGACUCCUACGGGAGGCAGCAGUGGGGAAUAUUGCACAAUGGGCGCCAGCCUGAUGCAGCGACGCCGCGUGGGGGAUGACGGCCUUCGGGUUGUAAACUCCUUUCGCAAGGGACGAAGCUUUUUGUGACGGUACCUAGAUAAGAAGCACCGGCUAACUACGUG